RNAcentral lists this ribosomal RNA (253 nucleotides) under uncultured bacterium. RNAcentral's name for it is "partial 16S ribosomal RNA". It matches the Rfam family "Bacterial small subunit ribosomal RNA", at positions 524 to 776 of the family's 1533-position model. The record is from RNAcentral.
UACGGGGGGGGCAAGCGUUGUUCGGAAUUACUGGGCGUAAAGGGCGCGUAGGCGGCCUGCUAAGUCGGAUGUGAAAUCCCUCGGCUCAACCGAGGAACUGCAUCCGAUACUGGCGGGCUUGAAUCCGGGAGAGGGAUGUGGAAUUCCAGGUGUAGCGGUGAAAUGCGUAGAUAUCAGGAAGAACACCCGUGGCGAAGGCGGCUCUCUGGGACGGUACUGACGCUGAGACGCGAAAGCGUGGGGAGCGAACAGG